Molecule: ribosomal RNA, 751 nt
Filed under: Francisella orientalis
Lineage: Bacteria; Pseudomonadati; Pseudomonadota; Gammaproteobacteria; Thiotrichales; Francisellaceae
Description: bacterial SSU rRNA
Rfam family: Bacterial small subunit ribosomal RNA
Source: RNAcentral
UGCAGUCGNNCGGUAACAGGUCUUCGGAUGCUGACGAGUGGCGGACGGGUGAGUAACGCGUAGGAAUCUGCCCAUCUGUGGGGGAUACCAGUUGGAAACGACUGUUAAUACCGCAUAAUAUCUGCGGAUUAAAGGUGGCCUUUGCGCUGCCGCAGAUGGAUGAGCCUGCGUUGGAUUAGCUAGUUGGUGGGGUAAGGGCCUACCAAGGCUACGAUCCAUAGCUGAUUUGAGAGGAUGAUCAGCCACAUUGGGACUGAGACACGGCCCAAACUCCUACGGGAGGCAGCAGUGGGGAAUAUUGGACAAUGGGGGAAACCCUGAUCCAGCAAUGCCAUGUGUGUGAAGAAGGCUCUAGGGUUGUAAAGCACUUUAGUUGGGGAGGAAAGCCUGUGAGUUAAUAGCUUGCAGGAAGGACGUUGCCCAAAGAAUAAGGACCGGCUAACUCCGUGCCAGCAGCCGCGGUAAUACGGGGGGUCCGAGCGUUAAUCGGAAUUACUGGGCGUAAAGGGUCUGUAGGUGGUUUGUUAAGUCAGAUGUGAAAGCCCAGGGCUCAACCUUGGAACUGCAUUUGAUACUGACAAACUAGAGUAUGGUAGAGGAAUAGGGAACUUCUGGUGUAGCGGUGAAAUGCGUAGAGAUCAGAAAGGANCACCAAUGGCGAANGCAACAUUCUGGACCAAUACUGACACUGANGGACGAANGCGUGGGGAUCAAACANGNAUUAGAUACCCUGGUANNCCACGCUGUAAAC